AGAGUUUGAUCCUGGCUCAGGAUGAACGCUGGCGGCGUGCCUAACACAUGCAAGUCAAACGAAGCGCCUGGCCCCGACUUCUUCGGAACGAGGAGCCUUGCGACUGAGUGGCGGACGGGUGAGUAACGCGUGGGCAACCUGCCUUGCACUGGGGGAUAACAGCCAGAAAUGGCUGCUAAUACCGCAUAAGACCGAAGCGCCGCAUGGCGCGGCGGCCAAAGCCCCGGCGGUGCAAGAUGGGCCCGCGUCUGAUUAGGUAGUUGGCGGGGUAACGGCCCACCAAGCCGACGAUCAGUAGCCGACCUGAGAGGGUGACCGGCCACAUUGGGACUGAGACACGGCCCAGACUCCUACGGGAGGCAGCAGUGGGGGAUAUUGCACAAUGGGGGAAACCCUGAUGCAGCGACGCCGCGUGAAGGAUGAAGUAUUUCGGUAUGUAAACUUCUAUCAGCAGGGAAGAAGAUGACGGUACCUGACUAAGAAGCCCCGGCUAACUACGUGCCAGCAGCCGCGGUAAUACGUAGGGGGCUAGCGUUAUCCGGAAUUACUGGGCGUAAAGGGUGCGUAGGUGGUUUCUUAAGUCAGAGGUGAAAGGCUACGGCUCAACCGUAGUAAGCCUUUGAAACUGGGAAACUUGAGUGCAGGAGAGGAGAGUGGAAUUCCUAGUGUAGCGGUGAAAUGCGUAGAUAUUAGGAGGAACACCAGUGGCGAAGGCGGCUUGCUGGGCUUUUACUGACGCUGAGGCUCGAAAGCGUGGGGAGCAAACAGGAUUAGAUACCCUGGUAGUCCACGCCGUAAACGAUGAUUACUAGGUGUGGGGGGAUUGACCCCUUCCGUGCCGGAGUAAACACAAUAAGUAAUCCACCUGGGGAGUACGACCGCAAGGUUGAAACUCAAAGGAAUUGACGGGGGCCCGCACAAGCAGUGGAGUAUGUGGUUUAAUUCGACGCAACGCGAAGAACCUUACCAGGUCUUGACAUCAAGUGACAGUCUAAGAGAUUAGGCCUUCCCUUCGGGGACACAAAGACAGGUGGUGCAUGGUUGUCGUCAGCUCGUGUCGUGAGAUGUUGGGUUAAGUCCCGCAACGAGCGCAACCCUUAUCAUUAGUUGCUACGCAAGAGCACUCUAAUGAGACUGCCGUUGACAAAACGGAGGAAGGUGGGGAUGACGUCAAAUCAUCAUGCCCUUUAUGUCUAGGGCUACACACGUGCUACAAUGGCAAGUACAAAGAGACGCAAUACCGCGAGGUGGAGCAAAACUCAAAAACUUGUCUCAGUUCGGAUUGUAGGCUGAAACUCGCCUACAUGAAGCUGGAGUUGCUAGUAAUCGCGAAUCAGCAUGUCGCGGUGAAUACGUUCCCGGGCCUUGCACACACCGCCCGUCA
This 1384-nucleotide ribosomal RNA is filed under the name uncultured bacterium. Its description in RNAcentral is "16S ribosomal RNA". It matches the Rfam family "Bacterial small subunit ribosomal RNA". The record is from RNAcentral.